This 331-nucleotide ribosomal RNA is filed under the name uncultured Oscillospiraceae bacterium. Its description in RNAcentral is "bacterial SSU rRNA". It matches the Rfam family "Bacterial small subunit ribosomal RNA", at positions 28 to 339 of the family's 1533-position model. Lineage: Bacteria; Bacillati; Bacillota; Clostridia; Eubacteriales; Oscillospiraceae. The record is from RNAcentral.
GAUGAACGCUGGCGGCGUGCUUAACACAUGCAAGUCGAACGGAGGACCCUUGACGGAGUUUUCGGACAACGGAAAGGAAUCCUUAGUGGCGGACGGGUGAGUAACGCGUGAGGAACCUGCCUUGGAGAGGGGAAUAACACAGAGAAAUCUGUGCUAAUACCGCAUAACGCAGCUGAGUCGCAUGGCUCUGGCUGCCAAAGAUUUUAUCGCUCUGAGAUGGUCUCGCGUCUGAUUAGGUAGUUGGCGGGGCAACGGCCCACCAAGCCGACGAUCAGUAGCCGGACUGAGAGGUUGGCCGGCCACAUUGGGACUGAGACACGGCCCAGACUCC